Molecule: long non-coding RNA, 790 nt
Organism: Salvia miltiorrhiza (redroot sage)
Lineage: Eukaryota; Viridiplantae; Streptophyta; Magnoliopsida; Lamiales; Lamiaceae
Exons: 2
Source: RefSeq, a predicted model, not a curated record
ACCCAUCUUUUUAUUACUCUAUUUGUUAAUUAAAGAGAUGAUUUACCAAACAAAUAAAUAAAGAGUCGAUACUAAUAUAAUUUGAAUCGGAGUUCAUCUCAUCGCUUGGUGUUCAAUCGAAGUUAUCAACUUUUUACGAAUUGUUUAAACUCUGAAAAAGAGAGAGGAUGCCGAGUCAAAGAUGGAGACUUUCAGGAUUCAAUUGCGAAAUCACCACCAACAUCUCAACGAGGGGCUCGGGCUCGUGUUCAGUCUUUGUUCACAACGGAGAUGUGACGAUCAGAAUGUCCAGCAGUGAGGGCGUGGCAGAGAUCAGGCGACAGAAUGUGGGUGGCGUGAAGCGUGUUUCUUCCAUCCAUGCCCCACCAACAGUCAAGAUCUCAAAGGCACACAUUCGUGAGGCUUCCACCUGUGCCAUCUGCAAAGACAGAUUCGAGCUGGGCUCUCAAGUGAGGAAGCUUCCAUGCAAACAUCUCUACCACUCCGACUGCAUCAUGCCGUGGCUCGAACAAAACAGCUCCUGCCCUGUUUGCCGCCACCCCGUCACUAGCAGGAAGACCACAAGGAGCCCGCGCACUAGUCAGCAAGGAGCGGAGCAAAGCACAAGAGCGGCUGAACCAACACGGAGCCGUUGGUCUUUCUUGUUGCCGUCUUGUUUCGUUAGCUAAGCUAAGGCCUUUCAAUUUCAGUGAAUCGUUUCUGUUUGUUAAUGGUCCUCUCCUAGUCCUAGUGUUUGAACGAAUAAGUACACUUGCAAUGCUACUUUUUGGCUGGAGAAUUUGUUUAACUA